GUCGAGAAUCAUUCGCAAUGGGCGAAAGCCUGACGAUGCGACGCCGUGUGAGCGAAGAAGGCCUUAGGGUUGUAAAGUUCUUUCGCUUGGGAACAAGGGGACAGGGUAAAUAGCCAUGUUUUUUGAGGGUACCAGGUAAAGAAGCACCGGCUAACUCCGUGCCAGCAGCUGCGGUAAUACGGAGGGUGCAAGCAUUAAUCGGAUUUAUUGGGCGUAAAGGGCGUCUAGGUGGGGAUGUAAGUCAGACGUGAAAUCCCGGAGCUCAACUCCGGAACUGCGUUUGAAACUGCAUUUCUUGAGGGUAGGCGGGGGAAACGGAAUUCCACGUGUAGCGGUGAAAUGCGUAGAUAUGUGGAAGAACACCGGUGGCGAAGGCGGUUUCCUAGCUUACACCUGACACUGAAGCGCGAAAGCAAGGGGAGCAAACAGG
Molecule: ribosomal RNA, 430 nt
Filed under: uncultured bacterium
Lineage: Bacteria
Description: bacterial SSU rRNA
Rfam family: Bacterial small subunit ribosomal RNA
Source: RNAcentral